AUAAGGGAACCUCGAGUGCCAGGUUACAAAUCUGGCUGUCGAGAUGCCUAAAAAGCAUUUCAUAGCAAGGGCCGGGCAAGACCGGUGCCAGCCGCCGCGGUAACACCGGCGGCUCGAGUGGUAACCGUUAUUAUUGGGUCUAAAGGGUCUGUAGCCGGCCGGAUAAGUCUCUUGAGAAAUCUGGCAGCUUAACUGUCAGGCUUUCAGGAGAUACUGUCUGGCUCGAGGCCGGGAGAGGUGAGAGGUACUUCAGGGGUAGGGGUGAAAUUUUGUAAUCCUUGAAGGACCACCAGUGGCGAAGGCGUCUCACCAGAACGGACCUGACGGCAAGGGACGAAAGCUAGGGGCACGAACCGGAUUAGAUACCCGGGUAGUCCUAGCCGUAAACGAUACUCGCUAGGUGUCGGCCACGGUGCGACCGUUGUCGGUGCCGUAGGGAAGCCGUGAAGCGAGCCACCUGGGAAGUACGGCCGCAAGGCUGAAACUUAAAGGAAUUGGCGGGGGAGCACCACAACGGGUGGAGCUUGCGGUUUAAUUGGAUUCAACGCCGGAAAUCUUACCGGGACCGACAGCU
RNAcentral lists this ribosomal RNA (574 nucleotides) under uncultured Methanosaeta sp. RNAcentral's name for it is "bacterial SSU rRNA". It matches the Rfam family "Archaeal small subunit ribosomal RNA", at positions 370 to 944 of the family's 1478-position model. Lineage: Archaea; Methanobacteriati; Methanobacteriota; Methanomicrobia; Methanotrichales; Methanotrichaceae. The record is from RNAcentral.